AGUGAACGCUGGCGGUAGGCCUAACACAUGCAAGUCGAACGGCAGCACAGUAAGAGCUUGCUCUUACGGGUGGCGAGUGGCGGACGGGUCAGGAAUACAUCGGAAUCUACUUUUUCGUGGGGGAUAACGUAGGGAAACUUACGCUAAUACCGCAUACGACCUACGGGUGAAAGCAUGGGAUCUUCGGACCUUGCGCGAUUGAAUGAGCCGAUGUCGGAUUAGCUAGUUGGCGGGGUAAAGGCCCACCAAGGCGACGAUCCGUAGCUGGUCUGAGAGGAUGAACAGCCACACGGGAACUGAGACACGGUCCAGACUCCUAAGGGAGGCAGCAGUGGGGAAUAUUGGACAAUGGGCGAAAGCCUGAUCAAGCCAUUCCGCGGGGGUGAAGAAGGGCUUCGGAUUGUAAAACCCUUUUAGUGGGGAAGAAGAGCAGUAAGUUAAACCCUGGCUGUUUUGACGGUACCAAAAAAAAAAGCACCGGCUAACUUCGUG
Molecule: ribosomal RNA, 492 nt
Filed under: uncultured bacterium
Lineage: Bacteria
Description: partial 16S ribosomal RNA
Rfam family: Bacterial small subunit ribosomal RNA
Source: RNAcentral